GCCGCCGUAGCUCAGUUGGUAGAGCGUAUCCUUGGUAAGGAUAAGGUCACCGGUUCAAUCCCGGUCGGUGGCUCCA
This 76-nucleotide transfer RNA is filed under the name Heliomicrobium gestii. RNAcentral's name for it is "tRNA-Thr". It matches the Rfam family "tRNA". Rfam says of the family: Transfer RNA (tRNA) molecules are approximately 80 nucleotides in length. Their secondary structure includes four short double-helical elements and three loops (D, anti-codon, and T loops). RNAcentral also lists the same sequence under 1 other name. The record is from RNAcentral. Lineage: Bacteria; Bacillati; Bacillota; Clostridia; Eubacteriales; Heliobacteriaceae.